GAGUUUGAUCAUGGCUCAGGAUGAACGCUGGCGGCGUGCUUAACACAUGCAAGUCGAACGGUGAAAGAGAGCUUGCUCUCUGGAUCAGUGGCGAACGGGUGAGUAACACGUGAGCAAUCUGCCCCUGACUCUGGGAUAACAGCUGGAAACAGCUGCUAAUACCGGAUACGAGUUGCGAAGGCAUCUUCAGCAGCUGGAAAGAAUUUCGGUCAGGGAUGAGCUCGCGGCCUAUCAGCUUGUUGGUGAGGUAAUGGCUCACCAAGGCGUCGACGGGUAGCCGGCCUGAGAGGGUGACCGGCCACACUGGGACUGAGACACGGCCCAGACUCCUACGGGAGGCAGCAGUGGGGAAUAUUGCACAAUGGGCGAAAGCCUGAUGCAGCAACGCCGCGUGAGGGACGACGGCCUUCGGGUUGUAAACCUCUUUUAGCAAGGAAGAAGCGAAAGUGACGGUACUUGCAGAAAAAGCGCCGGCUAACUACGUGCCAGCAGCCGCGGUAA
This 501-nucleotide ribosomal RNA is filed under the name uncultured bacterium. RNAcentral describes it as "bacterial SSU rRNA". It matches the Rfam family "Bacterial small subunit ribosomal RNA", at positions 9 to 523 of the family's 1533-position model. The record is from RNAcentral.